This 395-nucleotide ribosomal RNA is filed under the name uncultured bacterium. RNAcentral describes it as "partial 16S ribosomal RNA". It matches the Rfam family "Bacterial small subunit ribosomal RNA", at positions 523 to 918 of the family's 1533-position model. The record is from RNAcentral.
AUACGUAGGGUGCAAGCGUUAAUCGGAAUUACUGGGCGUAAAGCGUGCGCAGGCGGUUUUGUAAGACAGGGGUGAAAUCCCCGGGCUCAACCUGGGAACUGCCAUUGUGACUGCAAGGCUGGAGUGCGGCAGAGGGGGAUGGAAUUCCGCGUGGAGCAGUGAAAUGCGUAGAUAUGCGGAGGAACACCGAUGGCGAAGGCAAUCCCCUGGGCCUGCACUGACGCUCAUGCGCGAAAGCGUGGGGAGCAAACAGGAUUAGAUACCCUGGUAGUCCACGCCCUAAACGAUGUCAACUGGUUGUUGGGGAUUUAUUUUCUCAGUAACGAAGCUAACGCGUGAAGUUGACCGCCUGGGGAGUACGGCCGCAAGGUUAAAACUCAAAUGAAUUGGCGGGG